AGCGGCGGACGGGUGAGUAACACGUGGGUAACCUGCCUCAUAGAGGGGAAUAGCCUUUCGAAAGGAAGAUUAAUACCGCAUAAGAUUGUAGUGCCGCAUGGCAUAGCAAUUAAAGGAGUAAUCCGCUAUGAGAUGGACCCGCGUCGCAUUAGCUAGUUGGUGAGGUAACGGCUCACCAAGGCGACGAUGCGUAGCCGACCUGAGAGGGUGAUCGGCCACAUUGGGACUGAGACACGGCCCAG
Molecule: ribosomal RNA, 242 nt
Filed under: uncultured bacterium
Lineage: Bacteria
Description: partial 16S ribosomal RNA
Rfam family: Bacterial small subunit ribosomal RNA
Source: RNAcentral